Molecule: long non-coding RNA, 1007 nt
Filed under: Macaca mulatta (Rhesus monkey)
Lineage: Eukaryota; Metazoa; Chordata; Mammalia; Primates; Cercopithecidae
Description: lncRNA (ENSMMUG00000056193.1)
Source: RNAcentral
AUGCUGGUCACAUCAACCAAUAGGGUGACGACAAUUUCCCUGUGCUUCCGUCCACCUGUCCGGUUGAACGCACUCUCCGGGAGGUUUCCUCGGCACAAUCUCUGUCAUUGCCAACUUGAGCCAGGCAUUUGUCUCCAAGCAUCCACGCGAGAUGGGCAGUGCGGCCGCGGAAAGAUCUGAGCAAAAACUUCAUCGUAUCCCCCUUUCCCUGUUCAAGAGUGAAGCUCCCGGGAGAUUACUGAGUGGCUAAUCAGCGUCAGGGCGGAUUGAAGGUUCUGAACAAGAGUGGCAGCGCGGCGUUUCCUGCCACCCGCGCUCCUCCCCGGGAGCGGCUGGGUGCGGGGUAGUGUCAUCGGCCGGGGCUGACACCGGCACUGGAGCCGUUCCCCGCUGGCAGCCUCUUCCGUCCCAGCAGGUACCUGUUAAGGCCAGACACGUUCCACCAACAGUCGCAGCUGCAGGAAAGAACCCGUUUUUUUCCCGUCUAGGUUGCUCCUUUCCUAGUACCUAAGCCCAUCAUCCUCCUGCCACUGACAUAAUCGUUGUCUAGACGUUCUUUUUCAAAACUCAAAUCCAAUCAAACAAAAACAAAGCCCGUCAAAGCAAGAACAAUAAUACUGCAGCUAGCGGCCGGGAGCGUGCACCCCAUUAACGGGGAGAAAGCAUCAACCCCUGCUGUAAUGACUGAAUUGGAAAGAAAGGUUUCAUGCCGCUUGUUACUCGUCAACAUUUUUACUAUGCCAGCUGCAAGAGAAGCAGCUGCAUACUCUGGCAACUCGACUAGGGUGGGAGAAAUUUAGCCAGCGUCUGGGAUUUUCGCAGAUAAUUUAAGCCCCAGCUUCGCUCCCGCUGGGGGUUGGGGGCCUGCGGGGCCAGGGUGGGGGAACUGGGCUGUGGCGCGCAUGCGCAGGUCCUGCAGCCCGGCUCUGGGGAGGCCCUGCUGCCGCCACCGCCGUGGCCCGCGCUGUAACCGCGGCUGCCGCUGCUGCUCGGGGCGGGCGUUGGUG